Long non-coding RNA from Myotis myotis, 1008 nucleotides. RefSeq lists it as uncharacterized. The record is from RefSeq and is a predicted model, not a curated record. NCBI's taxonomy places the organism in Eukaryota, Metazoa, Chordata, Mammalia, Chiroptera, Vespertilionidae. The transcript is spliced from 5 exons.
UGGAAUUUUCCUUGGACUAGCAAGAGCCCUGGGUGGCAGAAGCAAAACCACAGCACCCAACACCACCUGGGCUAACAUCCAUUUGCUCCCUCUUGGAAGGUCUAUUAUUUUACAGAAUGGAAACAGAAGACCAGAGGCAGGCUUGACACCUGUAGGCUGAAUGUAGCCUCCCAUGAUUCAGAUGAAUUGUGUUGUGCCUCUGCCAAGCUUGCAUCCCUUGGAAACAGAACUGCCAGCCUGGAGGAAGAAAAACUAGGACCAGGGCAGUAUCUGUGAAGCUCAAUCUAUUGAGGCACGCUUAAACAAGGUCUCUUCCCUUCCAGAAGGACAGCAGUCACAGUGGAUGAGAAGGCCCUUGAAUGACCCAUUGUAAGAGUAUGAAAGAGCCAGUGAAAACCCCAGGCAGACAUACUGAGCAGCCUCUGAAUCACUGAGAAACACAGACAAGGGUGGUGAUUUGAGGAACUGGAAAGCAAGUCCUUCACCAGCUUUGUCUCCUUGCUGUCACUGCCAGUGUCCAAGGCGAGCAAGACUUUCCCUGCCCCUCCCUGCGUGUGCACGCAUAUGUGAGUGUGCGCGUGCGCGUGUUCGCAGACCUGGGAGCGCGGGCCUCUUUCUGUGUGUUCUUUCCCACACACCCGCUUCCUCUUCUGCCUCUCAUGCCUCAGUCCUCGGAGAAACCAGCACAAGGUUUCCAUUAGUGAAGCACAUUUUUGUGCUAUGGAUAUUGAACCAGAGAGGAAAGAAAGCAGACUGUUGUCCAUGAUGGAUGGGUUUUCUAGAGGACUUCCCAGGGUGGUCCUUAAGGGGGCCAGGAUGGAGCCGUGAGGGGCUCACAGCUUCACAGCCUCCCCUUGUUUCCGAGGACGUCUGUGUUGGGGGGGUGUCUGCUCUGCCGCCAGCCUCUCCCACCUCCAUUCACCCCGCGCCUGCCCCUCCUCCUUCACCCUCCCCUUCCCCCAACAGCUCCAACCUCCAGUUUACCUGAGUGCAAAAAUGCUUUCUAAG